CGGCAGGCCUGGCUGCAGAGGCCAGAGGUAGCGGUGGGCCCAACCCAGCUGUGGAGGCAAGGCCCAGGAGAUGGGGGGAGAAAGUGGCGGUGGGGAGGAGAGGCGCCUAGGCCUGGAAGUGGAGACUGAGGCAGAAGACAGGCCAUGCGUGGCAACCUCUCGCGAGAGCUCUGGACAGAGCUCUCACACAUGAGAUUGGCGGAAAAAUAAUGGCGGCGGUGGCGGGCCCGGCCUGGCCACAGUCAAGAGGCAGCUACGGGCCCGGCUGCGGUGAGGGCCCUGCCUGGCCGCCGGGGUGAGGAGGCGGCUGGGCUGCCAGGAAGAGGCGGCUGCGGAAGAAGGCGGGAGGCAGCAGGUAAGAGGAGCCCAGCUGGGGUGGCUGAGAUGCACCGUGCCCAGUGGGGAAGGAAAGCACUGCCGGCGGGCAGGGAGGGAAAAGUCAGAGGAGGCGGUCGGUGGAGCCGAGGCAUCGAGAAGAACCCGACCAGGGAAGGAAAGAAUGGCAACAAACUAGCAGCGCAGAUGCUGUGCGCCGGGUCUGCUAGUAUAAACUAUCUGCUCAAUAACAUAUCUAUUAUAUAUAUUUAAAAGAGUUGUUUGUGGAAAAGAGUUGAUUGAGCAAAACAACGUUAUACUUCUUGAUUACCUAAGGUAAAGCCUGCUGUUGAGUCGGUGUCGACUCCUGGUGACCACAGAGUCCUGUGGUUGUCUUUGGUAGAAUACAGGAGGAGUUUACCAUUGCCUCCUCCCGUGCAGUAAGAGAUGAUGCCUUUCAGCAUCUUCCUAUAUCGCUGCUGCCCAAUAUAGGAGUUUCCCAUAGUCUGGGAAACAUACCAGUGGGGAUUCGAAGCAGCAACCUCUGGCAACCUCAUCAAUUCAUUUCCCUGCUGCACCAUUAGGUCGCUGUAUCUUGAUUACCUACUGAUACCAAAUUUUUCAUACCCAAUCGUGCUACUUACAUUAGCUCAAUUCACUACUUUUACACCAGAAUAUUCAGGGAGAAAAGGUUUUUAAAACAUUUGGGGGGUAUUUUUAGAAUAAAUUCUCAAUACAAGUGAGAAGGAAUCACUUCUUCCCAUUAUACCUGUAUCUUAUGGUUUGUUUGUUUUCAGUUUGUUCUGUGUCCCCUCCAGGAUCUGCAGGAAUUAAAAGGUAGCAACUUCUAAAAGCCAAAUCUGAGGUAAAAGUAGUCUGCAGUGUGCACAGCAGAGUUUUGGAGGGAAAGUUAUUGUGUGUUAUGAUUGGUUGUCUCAAGGCAGAGACAGAAGGUUCUGGAUGCCUGGGGGGAAAAACUCCCUGAUUGGGUAAUGUGGAACUGGAUAAAAGGGCGGGUUGAGCAGCCAAGGGAAGGGCUGUGGGAGAAAGGAUCUGUGAGAGUGUGUGCUGCUGAGUGAAGUGACGGAUGGUGAGAGUGCUGCCAGGGGAGAUGAUGAGAGGCACCUUUAAGUGUGCAUUAGUAGAUGCUUACUUCCAGUACCACUGCACCUGAAAGCUGCUUUGAGCAGCAGUGCACCUUGUGGCAAAGGAUCCACUUCACCACUCACCUGGUCACUAUGCUAGACACUCACCUGGUCUCCGCGCAUGCAUGGAGGCCAGGUGAGUGGUGGAGCCAAUCCCCCCACCACAGGGGGUGCUGGGCACCACACCACUGCACUUAAAGGUGCCUCUCACCACCGCCCCCCAGCAGCGCCCUCACUGGCUGCCACUGGCGGAGUGUUGUGUGAGCCAGAAGGCUGGGACACCAGCAGAGUAGGGUCAGGCUGAAACUGCUAGAGAAGGUAGCAGUGAGGGAGCUGGUCUUACUAGAACCUGCUAGUUGAGAUGUGCAAUUCAAUUCAACCUUGAAUUGAUUUGGGUUGUAUUUGGGGCAAUUUGGGGAUUCAACCGCAAAUCAGAUCACUCUCAAAACAAAGGGCCUGAUUCAGGGUUGACGAUAAUCACCCCCUAUUUGACCCAACUCAGUUUGGGUGGUUUUUCCAGGGAGAGCUGGUCUGUCAAUUGGGGUCAGCAGGUAGACUAGCCCUCCACUCCAGACUUGGUGCGUCAGCCAGCCUCAGAGGACUGGUCUACCCGCCAACCCCAACUGAUAGACCAUCUCUCCCCAGAAAAACUGCCAUUUUAAGGCCCAUUUUUCCAUCUCUCCCUGGAAAAAUGGACCUCAAAGUGGAGCUUGAAUCACUUGAAUUGAUUUAAGGUUGAUUCGUAGAGACAUGCUAGCUGAAUCCGAUGAAUCAGUUUGAGUUUUUGAGAUCCGACUCAAGCUCGAAUGGAAUCGCAAAAUUUGAUUCAUGCACACCUCUACCUGCUAGACCUUGAAAGAAGUGGCUAGCAAGCUUGUUUGUUUUGUAUUUUGAAUUUUGUACUCUUGCCAACUGAACUUUACAUCAUUUGUCCCUGUACUGUGUUUUGAAUUGUUGCAACCUUUUAUUAUAGUAAACCUGUUCUUGUUUUUAUGCUA
Long non-coding RNA from Hemicordylus capensis (graceful crag lizard), 2458 nucleotides. RefSeq lists it as uncharacterized. The record is from RefSeq and is a predicted model, not a curated record. NCBI's taxonomy places the organism in Eukaryota, Metazoa, Chordata, Lepidosauria, Squamata, Cordylidae. The transcript has 2 exons.